GUCCUUUAGGACAAUGGUAGGAGAGCGUUCUAAGGGCGUUGAAGCAUGAUCGCAAGGACAUGUGGAGCGCUUAGAAGUGAGAAUGCCGGUGUGAGUAGCGAAAGACGGGUGCGAAUCCCGUCCACCGAUUGACUAAGGUUUCCAGAGGAAGGCUCGUCCGCUCUGGGUUAGUCGGGUCCUAAGCUGAGGCCGACAGGCGUAAGCGAUGGAUAACAGGUUGAUAUUCCUGUACCACCAUG
Molecule: ribosomal RNA, 239 nt
Filed under: Staphylococcus chromogenes
Lineage: Bacteria; Bacillati; Bacillota; Bacilli; Caryophanales; Staphylococcaceae
Description: partial 23S ribosomal RNA
Rfam family: Bacterial large subunit ribosomal RNA
Source: RNAcentral